RNAcentral lists this transfer RNA (77 nucleotides) under Mycobacteroides abscessus subsp. abscessus. RNAcentral's name for it is "tRNA-Pro(cgg)". It matches the Rfam family "tRNA". From Rfam's summary of the family: Transfer RNA (tRNA) molecules are approximately 80 nucleotides in length. Lineage: Bacteria; Bacillati; Actinomycetota; Actinomycetes; Mycobacteriales; Mycobacteriaceae. The record is from RNAcentral.
CGGAAUGUAGUUCAGCCAGGCCAGAGCGCCCCCUUCGGGUGGGGGAAGUCGCAGGUUCAAAUCCUGCCAUUCCGACC